RNAcentral lists this ribosomal RNA (511 nucleotides) under Scaptomyza sp. 'neocyrtandrae'. Its description in RNAcentral is "partial 16S ribosomal RNA". It matches the Rfam family "Bacterial large subunit ribosomal RNA", at positions 1825 to 2597 of the family's 2925-position model. The record is from RNAcentral. Lineage: Eukaryota; Metazoa; Arthropoda; Insecta; Diptera; Drosophilidae.
GUCUUUUUGAAAUAAAUUUAAAGUCUAACCUGCCCACUGAAAUUUUUAAAUGGCCGCAGUAUUCUAACUGUGCAAAGGUAGCAUAAUCAUUAGUCUUUUAAUUGAAGGCUGGAAUGAAUGGUUGGACGAAAUAUUAACUGUUUCAUUUAAAUUUUUUAUAGAAUUUUAUUUUUUAGUUAAAAAGCUAAAAUUUAUUUAAAAGACGAGAAGACCCUAUAAAUCUUUAUAUUUUGUUUAUUUUAAUUAUAAAGAUUAUUUUUAUUAUAAUAAAUUAAAAUAUUUUAUUGGGGUGAUAUUAAAAUUUAAAAAACUUUUAAUUUUUUAAAACCAUUAAUAUAUGAGUAAUUGAUCCAUUUAUAAUGAUUAAAAAUUUAAGUUACUUUAGGGAUAACAGCGUAAUUUUUUUGGAGAGUUCAUAUCGAUAAAAAAGAUUGCGACCUCGAUGUUGGAUUAAGAUAUAAUUUUGGGUGUAGCCGUUCAAAUUUUAAGUCUGUUCGACUUUUAAAUUCUU